GGGGGUGAACUGGUCUCGACGGAGAGAGUUGAGCAAAAGGAGCAUGCAGGGGUUGGUUACAGCACCUCUUCAAAACGUUGUGUCAGCCAGAAGUGGCAACCAAAAACUUAACGCUCUCGCUGCCUAAUUAAGCACAGAGCCGGUGACUUGGGUGUGGCAGCACGUGCAUUCAAAAUCGCCGUUAAUUUACGUGCGGGCAAUCUUCAACUUCUGUUCGGAGUUGAGUUUACCUAGCAAUCGAACUGGCUUGUUUGGUAGGGUGUCUUUCCCCGGCUAGCAAGUGAGAUCUAAUGACAGAAGAAGCAUGUGGCGCCAAUUGUGAUUCCUUUUCGGACCCGGGUUCGAUCCCCGGCACCUCCACCA
This 363-nucleotide transfer-messenger RNA is filed under the name Silvanigrellaceae. RNAcentral's name for it is "Silvanigrella sanaruensis Standard tmRNA". It matches the Rfam family "transfer-messenger RNA". Rfam says of the family: Bacterial tmRNA, also known as 10Sa RNA or SsrA, is named for its dual tRNA and mRNA-like properties. Its role is to liberate the mRNA from a stalled ribosome. RNAcentral also lists the same sequence under 1 other name. The record is from RNAcentral. Lineage: Bacteria; Pseudomonadati; Bdellovibrionota; Oligoflexia; Silvanigrellales.